CCCUACUAACUGCGAGUGAAAAGGGAUGAGCCCAGCGCCGAAGCCGCCGUCCAUCAAAGUGGGCGGAGGGCAAUGUGGCGUUAAGGAAGAGCCUCCUUGACCUGACGUUUCGUUGUUCGAAUUGCGGGAGCCUGAGUCCCCCUGACCGGGGCCACUGCCCAUGGCGGGUGCAAGGCCUCUUUGGCUCCGUUCGACGAUUCGAAGGUUGCUGGCUUCUUUCCUCAGAGUCGGGUUGCUUGAGAGUGCAGCCCUAAGCGGGUGGUAAACUCCACCUAAGGCUAAAUAUCACCACGAGACCGAUAGCGAACAAGUACCGUGAGGGAAAGUUGCAAAGAACUUUGAAGAGAGAGUUCAAGAGUACGUGAAACCGCUCGGAGGCAAACGGGUGGGCCCUCGAAGGUCGAACGGGGGGAUUCAGCCUGUCGGCGAGUGCUUCCUGUCUGUUGAAAAGCAUUCGUGCGAAACGGAUCCGAAAUCAAAGCGGACCGGGCGGCAGGUUUUAAACUAUAAAAAGCGCUCGUCGGCUCGUGCACUUCCCCCUUAGUAGGACGCCGCGACCGGUCGGGGUGUAUAUGCGUACGAACGAACGCAGCGGCCAUGAGGCGAGAACGUUAUUGCGGGGGCAGGUGUCCGUUUCCGCGGGAUUCUGGUUUUGGUCGGUGUUCACGCGCCGGCCUUGCUGGUUUCUCAGGUUCGGAGUUACAGCCCCUUCUCGACCCGUGCACCGCCACCCGACCGACAAAUGGUCACGAAAUCCGUAGACGCGUGCCCGCGACGCGCGCGCCUCUCUCUCUCGGGGGAGGGGAUGCGAUUGCGUGCGCUCGCCCUAAUCCAGGGCAGGCAGGAUGCGCGAGUAAAAAUCCCACUUAAACUCGUUUCAAACGCGGGUAGGGGAUCCGACGGACGCCGAAAGCAAAAAACCGAAAAGGCGGUCGUCGGCUCCGCGUCUGCCGUUCCGCCCACGUGGAGUUGGAAUCUGGCGUAGAGGCAAAAAUGAAAAAAAAACGCUCACGGUCGNNNNNNNNNNNNNNNNNNNNNNNNNNNNNNNNNNNNNNNNNNNNNNNNNNNNNNNNNNNNNNNNNNNNNNNNNNNNNNNNNNNNNNNNNNNNNNNNNNNNNNNNNNNNNCAUGUGUGCAAGUCGUAGGGUCUGCUUAUGAAACGAGCUAAACCCGAUGGCGAAAUGAAAGUAAAGGCCGGCCCUCUGUUUAGCGCGUGUGCGUUCUUCUUUCGGGGAGGGUGCGCGCGAAUGCGGCGGGGGGAAUGUGAACGGCCGAGGCGAGAUCCUAAAUGAGCAGCGUCGGCCUUCGCGGGUCGGCGCGGCGAAAUUUGAAAAAGAAACCGGACAUGGCAGGCACGCGUUCGCGCUCGCCGCGACGCGGUCCGGAGGCGCAUCGCCGGCCCGUCUCGAUCGCAUCCGAUCUGUUGCACCUUCGUUGUCGUCCCGUCUUCGUCGAUUCGUUUUCUUUUUUCCUCCUCGCGGGGGGAAUUUGAUAAGCUUUCGCGCGUUUGACGGUGCUGCGGCGCGUCGGGCUCUGAGAGGAAUCUUUAGUCGACGAGGCGGAGCAAGAGCACACACGUUGGGACCCGAAAGAUGGUGAACUAUGCCCGGGCAGGACGAAGCCAGAGGAAACUCUGGUGGAGGUCCGCAGCGAUUCUGACGUGCAAAUCGAUCGUCGGACCUGGGUAUAGGGGCGAAAGACUAAUCGAACCGUCUAGUAGCUGGUUCCCUCCGAAGUUUCCCUCAGGAUAGCUGGCACUCGGGAAAAAAAAAUAAUAAACAGAUGAAACAGUCUCAUCCGGUAAAGCGAAUGAUUAGAGGCAUUGGGGCCGAAACGGCCUCAACCUAUUCUCAAACUUUCAAUGGGUGAGAUGUCCGGCUUGCUUAACGUGAUACAGACGGGGUGGGGGAGAGAGGCUGGCGGCGCGUGCGGGGAGGGGGUUCGCCCUUUUUCUGCGCCGUCGUUGGUUUUUUCUCUUCUCAUGAACCUUGAAGCACGGACGUAGGAUGCGAGUGCCCAGUGGGCCACUUUUGGUAAGCAGAACUGGCGCUGUGGGAUGAACCAAAAGCCGGGUUACGGCGCCCGAUGCGGACGCUUAUCAGACCCCAUGAAAGGUGUUGGUUGCUAUUGACAGCAGGACGGUGGCCAUGGAAGUCGGAAUCCGCUAAGGAGUGUGUAACAACUCACCUGCCGAAGCAACUAGCCCUGAAAAUGGAUGGCGCUCCAGCGUCGAGCCUAACCCCGGCCGUCGGAAGGCAUUGAAAUAAAAAGCGAGACUCUUAAAAAAACGAUGCCCCGGCGAGUAGGAGGGUCGCGGUGGUGAGCGUUGAAGGGAUCGGGCGCGAGCCUGCCUGGAGCCGCCACCGGUGCAGAUCUUGGUGGUAGUAGCAAAUACUCGAGUGAGAACCUUGAGGACUGAAGUGGAGAAGGGUUCCAUGUGAACAGCAGUUGAACAUGGGUCAGUCGGUCCUAAGGAAUAGGGGAAACCCGUUCUGAAAAAGAACCGGAAUAAAAUGAAUGAAAAAGUGAAAAUUUAACCGGUGACGACCGAAAGGGAAUCGGGUUAAUAUUCCCGAACCCGGAUGCGGAGAUCGACCCUUAAACGGGGUCUAAAGCGGUAACGCGCAACGAACUCGGAGAAUGCCGGCGGGGGCCCCGGGAAGAGUUUUCUUUUCUUUGUAAAGGACGGACUCCCUGGAAUCGGCUCGCCCGGAGAGAGGGAUGUUGUUCCUGUAAAGCACCGCGGCUCUUGCGGUGUCCGGAGCGCUCUCGUCGGCCCUUGAAAAUCCGAGGGAGUGAACGAAUGAUUUCCGCACCGGACCGUACCCAUAUCCGCAGCAG
This 2840-nucleotide ribosomal RNA is filed under the name Strigamia transsilvanica. Its description in RNAcentral is "partial 28S ribosomal RNA". It matches the Rfam family "Eukaryotic large subunit ribosomal RNA", at positions 78 to 1862 of the family's 3401-position model. The record is from RNAcentral. Lineage: Eukaryota; Metazoa; Arthropoda; Chilopoda; Geophilomorpha; Linotaeniidae.